UACGGAGGGUGCAAGCGUUGCUCGGAAUUAUUGGGCGUAAAGGGUAGGUAGGUGGUCUCAUUUGUCUGGGGUGAAAGCCUUGAGCUUAACUCAGGAAGUGCCCCGGAAACGGUGAGACUAGAGUCUUGGAGAGGGUCGUGGAAUUCCCGGUGUAGCGGUGAAAUGCGUAGAGAUCGGGAGGAACACCAGAGGCGAAGGCGGCGACCUGGACAAGUACUGACACUCAACUACGAAAGCGUGGGGAGCAAACAGG
This 253-nucleotide ribosomal RNA is filed under the name uncultured bacterium. RNAcentral describes it as "partial 16S ribosomal RNA". It matches the Rfam family "Bacterial small subunit ribosomal RNA", at positions 524 to 776 of the family's 1533-position model. The record is from RNAcentral.